CCCCUGUAGAUGGAUAACUUGGGAACUGAGUGUAAUACCAAAUAGGGAACAAGGUGUGGAAUACUCUUGUUCUAGAAAGCUUCGGCGCUUCACGAUCGGUCGGCGGCCCAUCAGGUAGUUGGUGAGGUAAUGGCUCACCAAGCCUAAGACGGGUAGGGGCCAUGAGAGUGGUUGCCCCGAGAAGGACACUGAGAUACUGGUCCUAGCCCUAAGGGGUGCAGCAGGUACGAAAACUCCACAAUGCACGGAAGUGUGAUGGGGGGAUUCUGAGUGCUUACGGUUUACCCGUAGGCUUUUCAUCAGAGCAAAUAUCUGGUGGAAUAAGUGGUGGGCAAGACUGGUGCAAGCCGCCGCGGUAACCCCAGCGCCACAAGUGGGAACCACGCUUAUUGGGUCUAAAGCAUCCGUAGCCGGUUCGGCAAAUGCCCUGUGAAAUCGUUGCGCUCAACGUAACGACGUGCAGGGUAGACUACCGAACUUGGGACCAGAGGAAGAAGACGGUAUUCUCGGGGGAGCGGUAAAAUGUGAUAAUCCCGAGAGGACCACCGAUGGCGAAGGCAGUCUUCUAAUAUGGAUCCGACGGUGAGGGAUGAAAGCUAGGGGAGCGAUCUGGAUUAGAUACCCAAGUAGUCCUAGCAGUAAACGCUGCAUGCCAGAUGUUGCACAAUCUUCGAGAUUGUGCAGUGUCGAAACGAAGGUGUUAAGCAUGCCACCUGGGAAGUACAGUCGCAAGGCUGAAACUUAAAGGAAUUGGCGGGGGAGCAC
This 765-nucleotide ribosomal RNA is filed under the name uncultured archaeon. Its description in RNAcentral is "bacterial SSU rRNA". It matches the Rfam family "Archaeal small subunit ribosomal RNA", at positions 111 to 879 of the family's 1478-position model. The record is from RNAcentral.